AAGACAAAAGACCGAGCGAUUUCUUUCUCUAGUGCCUAGCAACACAACAUUUCGUCUCUCCCUCUCUCUCUGACAUCUCCAGACUCCAAAAUAUCCAAUCAAAACGACUCUAAAUCAUCCCCUGUGAAUGGAAGCAAUUCGAAAACAAGCCACAAAGCUUCGAGAACAGGUCGCUUCGCUAAGCAACAACAGGCGGUUCUCAAACAGUUUGGGGCUGGUGGAUAUGGAAGCUCAGACAAUGUUAUUACUGAUGAGGCAGAACUCCACCAACAUCAGAAACUUGAGAAGCUUUACAUAUCAACACGUGCUGGAAAGCAUUUCCAACGGGAUAUUGUUCGUGGUGUAGAAGGAUAUAUUGUCACUGGAUCCAAACAAGUUGAGAUAGGAACAAAGUUGUCAGAGGAUAGCAGGAAAUAUGGCGCGGAAAAUACAUGUACUAGUGGUACUACAUUAUCAAAGGCA
RNAcentral lists this unclassified non-coding RNA (462 nucleotides) under Hevea brasiliensis (rubber tree). Lineage: Eukaryota; Viridiplantae; Streptophyta; Magnoliopsida; Malpighiales; Euphorbiaceae. The record is from RNAcentral.